UACGUAGGGUGCGAGCGUUAAUCGGAAUUACUGGGCGUAAAGCGUGCGCAGGCGGUCUGUUAAGACCGAUGUGAAAUCCCCGGGCUUAACCUGGGAACUGCAUUGGUGACUGGCAGGCUUUGAGUGUGGCAGAGGGAGGUAGAAUUCCACGUGUAGCAGUGAAAUGCGUAGAGAUGUGGAGGAAUACCGGUGGCGAAGGCGGCAUCCUGGACCGGCAUUGACGCUGAGGAGCGAAAGCUAGGGGAGCAAACGGG
This 254-nucleotide ribosomal RNA is filed under the name uncultured bacterium. RNAcentral describes it as "partial 16S ribosomal RNA". It matches the Rfam family "Bacterial small subunit ribosomal RNA", at positions 524 to 776 of the family's 1533-position model. The record is from RNAcentral.